This 70-nucleotide transfer RNA is filed under the name Sternopygus dariensis. RNAcentral's name for it is "tRNA-Met". It matches the Rfam family "tRNA". From Rfam's summary of the family: Transfer RNA (tRNA) molecules are approximately 80 nucleotides in length. Lineage: Eukaryota; Metazoa; Chordata; Actinopteri; Gymnotiformes; Sternopygidae. The record is from RNAcentral.
AGUAAGGUCAGCUAAAAGAAGCUCUCGGGCCCAUACCCCGAAAAUGCAGGUUAAACCCCCGCCCUCACUA